AGUACGGUCGGAGCUUGAGUGGAGGCACUGAUGUGAUGAAAGUAACUGGCCACGCCCCUUGAAAUGGUUCAUGUGCCCAUCACUUCGAUUCCAACAACGCUUACAGUGGACCUCGAUCAUCGUCUUAUAGCAGACCCACUUCGUAAGCAAGGUGGGAUGUUUGAACGGCUUUGGUCGUUGUGGUGCGUGAGAAGCUAUGGACAUUGAUUGCUCCGGAGGCCCCCCGUUGUUGAGCGGCCGACUCUCGGGACUGUCAUUUCAAUCAAGAAAUACCGGUUUUGUACUUGUUCCCCCUCAGGAAGUGCUUGCGUUCUUCUACCCGUUAUGCGGGAAGUUGAUGCUUGCACAGAUUGCCUUUGUCGCGUACACCCUUGGCGUGUCGUGUCGCCACAUAGCAUGAUAGUGUGCCUGUGUGUCGGCUAAACCGGCAUCACCCAGGACACAUGUCUCUUGCCAUUGGUCUCGGAUGACGCUUGUAUGCGAGCUCGUGGUCCUUUCGACGUGCCUCACAAAAGUUCCGUCGGAAUUAAUUGACGGUUGGCUCGGCUGCCUUGAAUGUUUUAGAGCAUGGCCUCUGAGCUACGAUUGGUAGCCUGCUGCCAACUUGUCAAUGAGGACGUUGCUACCUGGUUGAUCCUGCCAGUAGUCAUAUGCUUGUCUCAAAGAUUAAGCCAUGCAUUGUGCAAGUAUGAACUAAUUGAACUGUGAA
Molecule: ribosomal RNA, 709 nt
Filed under: Oryza sativa (Asian cultivated rice)
Lineage: Eukaryota; Viridiplantae; Streptophyta; Magnoliopsida; Poales; Poaceae
Description: partial 18S ribosomal RNA
Rfam family: Eukaryotic small subunit ribosomal RNA (bases 624-709)
Source: RNAcentral